AUUGAACGCUGGCGGCAGGCCUAACACAUGCAAGUCGAGCGGAUGAAGGGAGCUUGCUCCUGGAUUCAGCGGCGGACGGGUGAGUAAUGCCUAGGAAUCUGCCUGGUAGUGGGGGAUAACGUCCGGAAACGGGCGCUAAUACCGCAUACGUCCUGAGGGAGAAAGUGGGGGAUCUUCGGACCUCACGCUAUCAGAUGAGCCUAGGUCGGAUUAGCUAGUUGGUGGGGUAAAGGCCUACCAAGGCGACGAUCCGUAACUGGUCUGAGAGGAUGAUCAGUCACACUGGAACGGAGACACGGUCCAGACUCCUACGGGAGGCAGCAGUGGGGAAUAUUGGACAAUGGGCGAAAACCUGAUCCAACCAUGCCGCGUGUGUGAAGAAGGUCUUCGGAUUGUAAAGCACUUUAAGUUGGGAGGAAGGGCAGUAAGUUAAUACCUUGCUGUUUUGACGUUACCAACAGAAUAAGCACCGGCUAACUUCGUG
This 484-nucleotide ribosomal RNA is filed under the name uncultured bacterium. RNAcentral's name for it is "partial 16S ribosomal RNA". It matches the Rfam family "Bacterial small subunit ribosomal RNA", at positions 30 to 507 of the family's 1533-position model. The record is from RNAcentral.